UGAGAAUGCUGAAUUCCUGGGGUGAAUUGGCUGCUACAGGGAGCAGCAGAAAAAAAAAAUUAGAGCAAGCUCAUAAAAAGUCCAAGAUUUUGAACAUCCCGGAAAACAGGACAGUGAAGAGGACUUCCCUGAUAACAAUGAGACAAGGCGGCGGAAGGAGGCCAUGAUUCAUCCCUGAGCUCUCCUGAGAGCAGAAUUCCUCAGCUCCCUUUGAAGGCUUUCGGUCCUGAGUCAGUUUGGAACUGUAAGGCAGGAAAAUGUGGCUUAUUUAUGUAAAGAUCAUGUCAUUUGGAUCCGUGUCACUUGCUGCAGGACCCGAGAUGUUAAAAUGACUGCAUGUUAAUUUUCUUGCUUGUCAGCACAGCACCACCAUGUAACUAUUAUGUUAUUACUAAGUCCACUCAAUGUCUAGAGAAGAGAAAACUAAAGAUUUCAAAUGCCUGAAACCCCAGUCUUUACAAUAAAACAGAAAAUAGCCCAAUAAAAAAAUAAAUAAAUAAAGAUGUGUGCCACCACA
Molecule: long non-coding RNA, 517 nt
Organism: Peromyscus leucopus (white-footed mouse)
Lineage: Eukaryota; Metazoa; Chordata; Mammalia; Rodentia; Cricetidae
Exons: 2
Source: RefSeq, a predicted model, not a curated record